RNAcentral lists this unclassified non-coding RNA (86 nucleotides) under Chryseobacterium joostei. RNAcentral's name for it is "Flavo-1 RNA". It matches the Rfam family "Flavo-1 RNA". Lineage: Bacteria; Pseudomonadati; Bacteroidota; Flavobacteriia; Flavobacteriales; Weeksellaceae. The record is from RNAcentral.
UCAUAGCCCCGAUAGUAGCGGUUACCCCGCAGCAUAUUGGGGUUUUGGAGUGGUGCGAGGAGUAUGAGCGGAUAGCGGGAACAGCU